GAGGGUAUAGCUCAAGCGGUAGAGUGCCUGUUUAGCAUGCAGGAGGUCCUGGGUUCAAUCCCCGGUACCACCU
This is a transfer RNA of Camelus ferus (Wild Bactrian camel), 73 nucleotides long. It matches the Rfam family "tRNA". Rfam says of the family: Transfer RNA (tRNA) molecules are approximately 80 nucleotides in length. The record is from Rfam. Lineage: Eukaryota; Metazoa; Chordata; Mammalia; Artiodactyla; Camelidae.